CCCCUUCCUCUAGCGCCAAUUCUUUUGGUGCAGAAUUUUGCCGAUGCCGGAUGAAGCCGGGGUCGAGGGGAUCACGACCGCCGUCGGGACUUGCAAGGGAAGUCUAAACCAGAGUUGGGGGAGCUCCGGCAAGACCCUCCGACGCUCAAGUCAGUACUCUGCUUCAACAGAAAUGGAGCACUCGAAUGGGAUUUUAGCAGAGUUUAGAGAUAGUGCUUAGAGCUUAGAGGAGAACAUAUUUGGAGGGUCUCUUUUAUAGACGGG
RNAcentral lists this long non-coding RNA (264 nucleotides) under Elaeis guineensis (African oil palm). Its description in RNAcentral is "long non-coding RNA (EGUI_LNC063356)". Lineage: Eukaryota; Viridiplantae; Streptophyta; Magnoliopsida; Arecales; Arecaceae. The record is from RNAcentral.